RNAcentral lists this ribosomal RNA (253 nucleotides) under uncultured bacterium. RNAcentral's name for it is "partial 16S ribosomal RNA". It matches the Rfam family "Bacterial small subunit ribosomal RNA", at positions 524 to 776 of the family's 1533-position model. The record is from RNAcentral.
UACCUAGGUGGCAAGCGUUAUCCGGAAUUAUUGGGCGUAAAGAGCGCGCAGGUGGUUAAUUAAGUCUGAUGUGAAAGCCCACGGCUUAACCGUGGAGGGUCAUUGGAAACUGGUUGACUUGAGUGCAGAAGAGGGAAGUGGAAUUCCAUGUGUAGCGGUGAAAUGCGUAGAGAUAUGGAGGAACACCAGUGGCGAAGGCGGCUUCCUGGUCUGCAACUGACACUGAGGCGCGAAAGCGUGGGGAGCAAACAGG